AAAAAAAAAAAAAAAAAUCUUUCUGGAAACAAAAAUUUAAAUUAUAUUAUGCUUCUAUUUUGUUUAAUUUUAUCUAUCUUUGCAAUUAUAUCCAGGAGAUGCCAAUUGAUAGCCGUCAGUGUGAUUGCUGUCAGCAUAUAUGCACUAUAGUUAAUGUGUUAGUUGCAAGUGUAAUCACUUAAUACAUGUAUAUAUUUUGCAAUAAUAAAGGUUAUUUUAUUUUUAAUGUUCAAUCUAUUUUUAAUGAAUAUUAAUUAACAAAAAUAAAGUCCAUGGGACUUAUAUGCAUAGCAAUGAAAAUUAUAAUGUUAUUAUAAUUAUGAGAUUCCAACUGUAUUAUAGCAUUGUUUCAGAAAUGGUCCAGGUCAAUGUUAUAUUGAGACUAGACAUUGAUAUAACUGUUAAGAUCAACACACGUUACAUUCUUUUCUUUGUGAAAGGAAGUAACAAUUCUCAUUAAGCUGAGGUAUAUGAAAUACCUAGAACCAAUGUGUAAAUGCUUGUGGUGAUAAGUUUACUGAACUGACCAUUUCAUACGAAAGUUUACCUGUAUCUAUGAAAAGACACACGUGGUAGUCGUGUAAGUGAUUCUUAGACUUAAGACAUUAA
This 609-nucleotide unclassified non-coding RNA is filed under the name Hevea brasiliensis (rubber tree). The record is from RNAcentral. Lineage: Eukaryota; Viridiplantae; Streptophyta; Magnoliopsida; Malpighiales; Euphorbiaceae.